Molecule: long non-coding RNA, 1763 nt
Organism: Chinchilla lanigera (long-tailed chinchilla)
Lineage: Eukaryota; Metazoa; Chordata; Mammalia; Rodentia; Chinchillidae
Exons: 4
Source: RefSeq, a predicted model, not a curated record
AACCAACAAGUUAUUCGGGGUCAGAGAGGGAACAGCGCUGGGGGUCGGAAGAGGCAGCAGAGAGAAGGAAGGGACAAAGACCCGCUCCCGCCGCGCCUCCGAGGGCCCGAAAGCCCAAGAGCACCCAGGCCAGGCCCGCGGGGCUUCCCUGCGCCGCCGCCGCUGGGCUGGCGACAGCUGUCCAGGGCCUCCUCGGACAGCUCCCUCCGGACAACGCGGUCUCCGCCAGAGUGACACCCCACCCCCAGGACCUCCCCCAGCACACGCCCUGCCCUCUGCCCAAACCCCUGCAUGUCUUUAUCGGGGUUAUCCUGCUCCCGAACUGACUGGCUCAUUGUUCUCCAGAAUGUCAUCUCCCCCAACAAGUUGUUCCCAGCUGAACCCUCUGCCUGCCAGCUAACAGGCGGAUGAAAGGUGGAUGACCUUGUGCCAAUUUCUUUUCCCUCGGUGCCCGUUUCCCACCCCCACUGGCAUCCCAUCCACCACAAGGGCCCUGCAUGUCAGGCAAGGUAUCCCCAGUAAGCAGAUGGGAACGCUGAGGCCCAGAGAAAGGAGAGGACUUCUGCAAGUCAUGUGUAGCCAAGACCCAGCUCAGGCCUUCCUGCCCCUCCCCUGGAGAUCCUGCUUCUGCGGGUCUGGAGGUGGCCCGAGGCAAAUUUGGAAAACUGGAUUACUGGAUUAUUAGGACCUUCAGCAGCUCAAGAUUAUUAACCUCAGGAAUAAAACUCCAAAACUCUCAGAGAAAUCAGAGCAAUCAGAGCAAAGCACAAGCGCAUGAAGAACCAAGCUGGCCAUGUAAGGAUUGGACAGACCCAUUGUUUCCCCCAAGCACCAGCGCAUCGCACACGGCAACCUGCGCAUCUUGGCUGGCUGCGAGAUGGAAGGAGACUGAGCAGAUUUGUCACAGAACAGAGCACACUGCCUACCGCUUCACGCAUUCACUCGCUUGACACUGAUUGCGUGCUGCUCCUCUGAGAUUCCAGAAUUCUGCAGUGUCCCGAGGUUCUAUAAUGCUACAACUGUACUUCCACCAGAUGAAAUGCGCCCCGAGACUGCGUGAGGAGAAGGCUUUUUCCCCCACGUCUCUGCUGGAAAGAAAGCCGGAUCCACGCAGAGCCCGGGGGCGGGUUGCGGCAAGGAGUCUCCCCCUAUGGCCCCCACCAUCUGCCCCCACACUGUCCCUCCAGCUCCUGUGCCCUCCCUCCCUCCCUAGGGACCAGGCUGGAAGCGACAACUCCAGCUCUGAGUCCUGCAGGGCGGGAGGGGUGUGGCCCUGCCUCUUUCCCUAGGUCUCGUGCACUUUGGGGAGGAUCUGGGGGUCGCUGGGCAGAUGGAGCUGGGGAGUUCAACCUCCAGAUGGACUCUCCCGAGGGUGGGACUGGUCUCCAUUUGCUCCAGGCUGGAGCCUGAAGCCCCAGGAGGGCAGAGGUCAGGGGCCCACGUGGGGCUUGGAAGGCCAGAGGCCACUAUGAGGGUGCAUGAUCCAGGCCUUUCACAGGGCAGAUGGACACCAAGACCCAAGAGCAGAGGGCGUUUCCCUGGCGAGGCCCAAGGUGAGUGUUGCACUCUGCCCACAGGGACACCUAGGAGCCACGAGUCUCUUCCUACGAGCACACUCCCUGCCCCACCCCACCUGUGGGGAAAGUCAAGGAGCAAAACUGGUACAGCAGGAAGUCAAGGAGGCUCAGAAGCCAGGAGUGGUGGCGCACGCCUGUAGUUCCAGCACUCAGGAGGCUGAGGCAGGAGGAUCGAUGCAAGUUUGA